RNAcentral lists this small RNA (618 nucleotides) under Porocercospora seminalis. RNAcentral's name for it is "eukaryotic LSU rRNA". The stretch from base 253 to 406 matches the Rfam family "5.8S ribosomal RNA". Lineage: Eukaryota; Fungi; Ascomycota; Dothideomycetes; Mycosphaerellales; Mycosphaerellaceae. The record is from RNAcentral.
CCGGAAAGUUCGUCAAACUCGGUCAUUUAGAGGAAGUAAAAGUCGUAACAAGGUCUCCGUAGGUGAACCUGCGGAGGGAUCAUUACACAAAAAAAUAUGAAGGCGAAGCGGCCUCGUGUCGCGGAGCCGAAUUAUUUUUCACCCAUGUCUUUUGCGCACUUGCUGUUUCCUGGGCGGGUUCGCCCGCCACCAGGACCCAACGUUCAACCUUUUGUUUCGUGCAAUCAGCGUCAGUACAAUGUAAUUUAUUACAACUUUCAACAACGGAUCUCUUGGUUCUGGCAUCGAUGAAGAACGCAGCGAAAUGCGAUACGUAGUGUGAAUUGCAGAAUUCAGUGAAUCAUCGAAUCUUUGAACGCACAUUGCGCCCUUUGGUAUUCCAAAGGGCAUGCCUGUUCGAGCGUCAUUUGUACCCUCAAGCUUUGCUUGGUGUUGGGCGUUGUUGUCUCUGGGCCUGCCCCGGAGACUCGCCUCAAAACGAUUGGCAGCCGGCCUACUGGUUUCGGAGCGCAGCACAUCUUUGCGCUUUCAAUCACUGGACGGCACUCCAUCAAGUCUACCUUUUUUUUACUUUUGACCUCGGAUCAGGUAGGGAUACCCGCUGAACUUAAGCAUAUC